Molecule: unclassified non-coding RNA, 418 nt
Filed under: Hevea brasiliensis (rubber tree)
Lineage: Eukaryota; Viridiplantae; Streptophyta; Magnoliopsida; Malpighiales; Euphorbiaceae
Source: RNAcentral
AAAUAAUCUAGUCACUCGAAUGUCAUGCCAAUUUACAGUCCACCCAUAACAAAUUCAUCCAUCUAUAUUGUAAUGUAAAUAAAUAAAUGAUGGACAACAAUGUCUAUUUGCCUUUUCUUUUUCAAGUUUGCAAAUCACCCCCCAAAACUCACUCUAACAACAAAAUUAUAUCUUGGAUUUGCUUUCCAUCAACUUAGUAUUUUUUGAGAUUUGCAAUUGUCCUUUAUGGCUCUAUGUUUUAGGCAUUAAAUCAACAAAGGCACCAUUAAAGCUUUUAUGGAAGGAUCACUUGAAAUUUCUUGAGAAAGACUAAUAUGUAUUUCCUAAUUAUUGUGUGGCUAAGCUAAAGAAAAGCUACCCAAUCCAAUGCAGGGAUUAAACUUGCAUUAUGAUUUGGUUUUGGCAACCACCUUUUUCA